Long non-coding RNA from Cavia porcellus (domestic guinea pig), 1260 nucleotides. RefSeq lists it as uncharacterized. Lineage: Eukaryota; Metazoa; Chordata; Mammalia; Rodentia; Caviidae. The record is from RefSeq and is a predicted model, not a curated record. The transcript is spliced from 2 exons.
CAGGUGGUUCCUACCCUUUGCUAUGGUAAAUUGUGCUGCAAUGAACAUUGGGUUCCAAGUGUCUGGCCAAGCUCCUCCUUUCAUUCCUUCAGCUGUGCAUCUAGGAGAGGGACCUCCAGAUCACACGAAAUUGUGGACAAAUCUGGCGUCAGGAAGGUUUCUCCUAUGUGCCAGCCCCUCAAGGAUGACAAGCAACAACCGGUAACCAGAGCCCAGAAUUUCAAGGUUUUCAGAGAACAGAAGCCUGUUGCCUAGCCUGGCUCCAGCAAAGAACGGCAGGAACUUGGGCUGCUGUCCCCAUGGUUGCUGCCUUUCGGGCUGGGGGCUGAUAAACACAAACAAACCAGAGCUGAAACGAACCGAACUGGACCAGCCUCCUCCAAGCUGUCUCCUAGGCACUGGGCAUGCAUUGCCACAUACAGAAGCCCGGAAAUCCCGCCACAGUCCUACCCAUCCAGUCGCUGUUCUGAUGCAGGCAUGGAUUGCCGGAGCUUUCUAUUCCACCAUCUUUUGGCCGCAUGUCAUCUUGAGGUCACUAGGUUUUAUGGAUGGUAUAAAAUACUGGAAAAUUUAAGUCCCAGUACAAGUUGCCCCUUUCAGACAACUUACAAUGAGCCCUCAAGUCCUGCCUCCCUGCUCUGUGGCACCUGAGCUCUGAGCCCCUCACUUGAGAUCCCGAGCCACUAUCAAGUCAGAGGCCAUUUUCACCCCACUGAGGGACACGUGGUGGCACAAUCUCAAAACAGACUGGGUUCUCACUCCACGACUGCCCUUCCUUCUCCUGCAGGUAAAGAGGGCAAUCGCGGCUCACUGUGAAGCUGAGUAAGGAGCCUUUUUCUAUUCCCUGCAGCUAGAACACCUUUCCUAAAAAGUGAGAACAAUGUCCAAAAGGGUGAUUUGGGACUUAUGAUGUGAUUACUGUUUAAGUCAACAACAAGUCCCUGAGCUUUUUCUAGACUGGGGGGGAAACAUCCAAGUCCUCUGACACUCUGACACGGUAAGUCUUGGGGCUCCAUCGUGAACUCACUUCCUAACAUGACAGCUCUUCAUUCAAAACAGACAGGGAGACUGUCUUUUUAAACAAAACAUUUUUUAAUAUUCUUCACUAAUAUUUGUACAGCUGUAAACUCAAGGAAUUGUUCAAUACUUGUGUACAUUUUAGGGAAUAGUUAAUAAGCACCUUCAGUGGUUUCCACAGUUUAAAACUUACCAUUUAAGACUUUAGAAUGAAUCUAGUGAAAUGAGGAAAACAGGCAUAAA